UACCUACGGGGGGCAGCAGUGAGGAAUAUUGGUCAAUGGGCGGAAGCCUGAACCAGCCAAGUCGCGUGAGGGAUUAAGGCCCUGCGGGUCGUAAACCUCUUUUGCCGGGGAGCAGAGGUCCGGACGUGUCCGGGCCGGGAGAGUACCCGGAGAAAAAGCAUCGGCUAACUCCGUGCCAGCAGCCGCGGUAAUACGGAGGAUGCGAGCGUUAUCCGGAUUUAUUGGGUUUAAAGGGUGCGUAGGCGGCGCUUCAGGUCAGCGGUGAAAUACCGGGGCUCAACCCCGGGGCUGCCGUUGAAACCGGG
Molecule: ribosomal RNA, 305 nt
Filed under: uncultured bacterium
Lineage: Bacteria
Description: bacterial SSU rRNA
Rfam family: Bacterial small subunit ribosomal RNA
Source: RNAcentral